RNAcentral lists this ribosomal RNA (497 nucleotides) under uncultured bacterium. Its description in RNAcentral is "partial 16S ribosomal RNA". It matches the Rfam family "Bacterial small subunit ribosomal RNA", at positions 28 to 507 of the family's 1533-position model. The record is from RNAcentral.
GAUGAACGCUGGCGGCGUGCCUAAUACAUGCAAGUCGAGCGAACAGACGAGGAGCUUGCUCCUUUGACGUUAGCGGCGGACGGGUGAGUAACACGUGGGUAACCUACCUAUAAGACUGGGAUAACUUCGGGAAACCGGAGCUAAUACCGGAUAAUAUUUCGAACCGCAUGGUUCGAUAGUGAAAGAUGGCUCUGCUAUCACUUAUAGAUGGACCUGCGCCGUAUUAGCUAGUUGGUAAGGUAACGGCUUACCAAGGCAACGAUACGUAGCCGACCUGAGAGGGUGAUCGGCCACACUGGAACUGAGACACGGUCCAGACUCCUACGGGAGGCAGCAGUAGGGAAUCUUCCGCAAAGGGCGAAAGCCUGACGGAGCAACGCCGCGUGAGUGAUGAAGGUCUUCGGAUCGUAAAACUCUGUUAUUAGGGAAGAACAAACGUGUAAGUAACUGUGCACGUCUUGACGGUACCUAAUCAGAAAGCCACGGCUAACUACGUG